This is a long non-coding RNA of Antechinus flavipes (yellow-footed antechinus), 728 nucleotides long. RefSeq lists it as uncharacterized. Lineage: Eukaryota; Metazoa; Chordata; Mammalia; Dasyuromorphia; Dasyuridae. The record is from RefSeq and is a predicted model, not a curated record. The transcript is spliced from 2 exons.
UCCCCCACACCAUCUAGCUGCCCAGAUAUCAUAAAAGAAGGGCCAGAUACCAGUGUUCCAAGUUCUGAUCAAGUUGGGCAACAAACCGAUAAAUGAGCAUCCUUUGAUAAGCUUAUCUAGGAACCUUUGAGUUUGGAAAAGUUUGGAAGAUCUAGGAAGCCUGUGAGCAGGGGAGCUAUGGCAUCUCUGGAGAUCAGCAGCAGCAGUUAGAAAGGAAAACUUCUUCAUCAGAGAGGUCAGUCUCUGGAAAGAAGAUCAAGCUCGUCUCAUGAUCACUCAGUCAAUUAAAAGUGGACAUUGUACUAAGUGCGUGCUUGGGAUAUGAAGAAACAAAGAAAAUGGCCCAUACUCUCAAAGUUUAAUGGAGGAGACAACACGCAAAUAACAAUGCAUAAACAAGAUGUAUGUAAGAUAAAGUGGAAUAAUCAAUAAAGGGAAGGCACUAGCCUUAGGACAAUUAGAAAAGACUUCUGGAAGAAAAUGAGGUUUUAACUAGGAUUUGAAGGAAAAACCAGAGAAGUCAGGCAAGGUAAACUAUAGAAUACCUGAUUAGCGAUCUUGCCAAAUUGUUUUAUGUUCUAAUGAGCCUUAAAUGGUAUCCACCCAGCUGCAACUUGCAACUGCAGUUAUAACUUAAAUCAUUGAAUCCUGUUUGUUCUGUUAAUUAUGUUCAUGUGUACUAUGUUUAGCAUUUCUUCCUGUGUAGGAAUAAAAUACUUGUCUCAUAA